This 67-nucleotide transfer RNA is filed under the name Eremias scripta (Sand racerunner). Its description in RNAcentral is "tRNA-Lys". It matches the Rfam family "tRNA". Rfam says of the family: Transfer RNA (tRNA) molecules are approximately 80 nucleotides in length. Their secondary structure includes four short double-helical elements and three loops (D, anti-codon, and T loops). Lineage: Eukaryota; Metazoa; Chordata; Lepidosauria; Squamata; Lacertidae. The record is from RNAcentral.
CAUUAAGAAGCUAAAACCAGCGCUAGCCUUUUAAGCUAGAGAUGGGGUAAUAAAACCCCCUUAAUGA